UACGGNCCGGCUUGAGUGCGGUAGGGGAGGCUGGAACUCCUGGUGUAGCGGUGGAAUGCGCAGAUNUCAGGAAGAACACCGGUGGCGAAGGCGGGUCUCUGGGCCGUUACUGACGCUGAGGAGCGAAAGCGUGGGGAGCGAACAGGAUUAGAUACCCUGGUAGUCCACGCCGUAAACGUUGGGCACUAGGUGUGGGGGGCCUUUUCCGGGUUUUCCGCGCCGUAGCUAACGCAUUAAGUGCCCCGCCUGGGGAGUACGGCCGCAAGGCUAAAACUCAAAGGAGUUGACGGGGGCCCGCACAAGCGGCGGAGCAUGCGGAUUAAUUCGAUGCAACGCGAAGAACCUUACCAAGGCUUGACAUGUGCCGGUCGGCUCCGGAGACGGGGUUUCCUCCUUGUGGGGCCGGUUCACAGGUGGUGCAUGGUUGUCGUCAGCUCGUGUCGUGAGAUGUUGGGUUAAGUCCCGCAACGAGCGCAACCCUUGUCUCGUGUUGCCAGCACGUUGUGGUGGGGACUCGCGGGAGACUGCCGGGGUCAACUCGGAGGAAGGCGGGGAUGACGUCAAAUCAUCAUGCCCCUUAUGUCUUGGGCUUCACGCAUGCUACAAUGGCCGGUACAGAGGGCUGCGAUACUGUGAGGUGGAGCGAAUCCCUUAAAGCCGGUCUCAGUUCGGAUCGGUGUCUGCAACUCGACACCGUGAAGUUGGAGUCGCUAGUAAUCGCAGAUCAGCAACGCUGCGGUGAAUACG
RNAcentral lists this ribosomal RNA (747 nucleotides) under uncultured bacterium. Its description in RNAcentral is "bacterial SSU rRNA". It matches the Rfam family "Bacterial small subunit ribosomal RNA", at positions 631 to 1370 of the family's 1533-position model. The record is from RNAcentral.